AAGCAACGCGAAGAACCUUACCAGGCCUUGACAUGCAGAGAACUUUCCAGAGAUGGAUUGGUGCCUUCGGGAACUCUGACACAGGUGCUGCAUGGCUGUCGUCAGCUCGUGUCGUGAGAUGUUGGGUUAAGUCCCGCAACGAGCGCAACCCUUGUCCUUAGUUACCAGCACGUUAUGGUGGGCACUCUAAGGAGACUGCCGGUGACAAACCGGAGGAAGGUGGGGGAUGACGUCAAGUCAUCAUGGCCCUUACGGCCUGGGCUACACACGUGCUACAAUGGUCGGUACAAAGGGUUGCCAAGCCGCGAGGUGGAGCUAAUCCCAUAAAACCGAUCGUAGUCCGGAUCGCAGUCUGCAACUCGACUGCGUGAAGUCGGAAUCGCUAGUAAUCGUGAAUCAGAAUGUCACGGUGAAUACGUUCCCGGGCCUU
RNAcentral lists this ribosomal RNA (430 nucleotides) under uncultured Pseudomonas sp. Its description in RNAcentral is "bacterial SSU rRNA". It matches the Rfam family "Bacterial small subunit ribosomal RNA", at positions 954 to 1382 of the family's 1533-position model. Lineage: Bacteria; Pseudomonadati; Pseudomonadota; Gammaproteobacteria; Pseudomonadales; Pseudomonadaceae. The record is from RNAcentral.